RNAcentral lists this ribosomal RNA (497 nucleotides) under uncultured bacterium. Its description in RNAcentral is "partial 16S ribosomal RNA". It matches the Rfam family "Bacterial small subunit ribosomal RNA", at positions 28 to 507 of the family's 1533-position model. The record is from RNAcentral.
GAUGAACGCUGGCGGCGUGCCUAAUACAUGCAAGUCGAGCGAAAAGACGAGGUGCUUGCUCCUCUGACGUCAACGGCGGACGGGAGAGUAACAUGUGGAUAACCUACCUAUAAGACUGGGAUAACUUCGUGAAACCGGAGCUAAUACCGGGUAACUUAUUGAACCGCAUGGUUCAAUAGCGAAAGCCGGUUUUGCUGUCACUUAUAGAUGGAUCCGCGCUGCAUUAGCGAGUUGGUAAGGUAACGGCUUACCAAGGCAACGAUGCGUAGCCGACCUGAGAGGGUGAUCGGCCACACUGGAACUGAGACACGGUCCAGACUCCUACGGGAGGCAGCAGUAGGGAAUCUUCCGCAAUGGGCGAAAGCCUGACGGAGCAACGCCGCGUGAAUGAAGAAGGUCUUCGGAUCGUAAAACGCUGUUAGUAGGGAAGAACAAAUGUGUAAGUAACUAUGCACGUCUUGACGGUACCUAAUCAGGAAGCCACGGCUAACUACGUG